RNAcentral lists this unclassified non-coding RNA (355 nucleotides) under fungal sp. RNAcentral describes it as "partial internal transcribed spacer region". Lineage: Eukaryota; Fungi. The record is from RNAcentral.
AAGUCGUAACAAGGUUUCGUAGGUGCACCUGCGGAAGAUCAUUAACGCGUAUCCAACGUUAAACCCCUGUGAACUUUUACACUUGCUCUCGAAGCUCGCCGGAAUUGCAAUCCCUGGUAAAUCAUUGUUGAACAGAUUUUGAUUCAGGGACCUCAGUUUGGUGAUCCGAGCGAUCGUUGCAAGUGGCCUGCAGUCAGUGUCUGUAAGUGUCAUUGAUUGUGUAAGGAUAACGCUUUUCGAUCACUAGAGGCCGACACCGGCCGGUGAGUAGCUUCGGCCCCUAUAUUCACCCCACUAGUAGGAAACUGCUGGGCAUCAAAACGAACAACUGUUAACAAUGGAUAUCUUCGUUCUC